This 253-nucleotide ribosomal RNA is filed under the name uncultured bacterium. Its description in RNAcentral is "partial 16S ribosomal RNA". It matches the Rfam family "Bacterial small subunit ribosomal RNA", at positions 524 to 776 of the family's 1533-position model. The record is from RNAcentral.
UACGGAGGGUGCAAGCGUUAUCCGGAUUCACUGGGUUUAAAGGGUGCGUAGGUGGGCAGGUAAGUCAGUGGUGAAAUCUCCGGGCUUAACCCGGAAACUGCCGUUGAUACUAUCUGUCUUGAAUACUGUGGAGGUAAGCGGAAUAUGUCAUGUAGCGGUGAAAUGCUUAGAUAUGACAUAGAACACCAAUUGCGAAGGCAGCUUACUAGACAGUUAUUGACACUGAGGCACGAAAGCGUGGGGAGCAAACAGG